Small nucleolar RNA from Alosa alosa (allis shad), 130 nucleotides. RefSeq annotates it as small nucleolar RNA ACA64. The record is from RefSeq and is a predicted model, not a curated record. The transcript has a single exon. Lineage: Eukaryota; Metazoa; Chordata; Actinopteri; Clupeiformes; Clupeidae.
ACAUUCUGAAAAUUACCCUUUAUUGUAUCAGUCAGUAAAGGUGCGAUAACCUGUGCCAACAAUAAUGUGGCUCAUCAAAGCUUAUUGCCAGUCUAUGUGGCUGUGUAAUCAAACCCAUGUGCCCACAAUC